This 1175-nucleotide long non-coding RNA is filed under the name Daphnia pulex (common water flea). RNAcentral describes it as "uncharacterized LOC124200207, transcript variant X1". Lineage: Eukaryota; Metazoa; Arthropoda; Branchiopoda; Diplostraca; Daphniidae. The record is from RNAcentral.
CGAGAACGUAGCCAACUAGCCAUUGCAAAAUGCAGAGUACUUGCUUUCUCGACAUUUUUCGUCAUAAAAAUGGGAUUCCUGCUUGUGCUUGUAUUCUUUGAGGUUAUAAAAUGUAAAAUAUUUGUGUGGUGAAUUUACAGUCUGGUUAUGUGAGCUUCUUCAUCGUAGCACGUGCACGUGAUUGCUGCCAAGUCAUGAAGAUGCGUCUUUAAAGAGGGUCUUAACUCUAUUGCAAGACCAAAAUGUGAUGAAAACAGGAAAUCUGGAUAGUUUUCCGUGGUCAGUUUGAGCUGUUAUGGUGUUGCUGUUUGGUGUGCAGUGGUUUUGCAGUCAUUUUCCAGUUGAGAGAUGUGCUGAACUUGAGUUUGUUGUUGAAAUGUUGGGCAAAAUACGAAAAUAGUCAAUGUUGAUUGUUGACUGAAUGCUGUCGAGUGUAUUUUGUCGCUGUGUCGUCUCUUGCUACUUGUAUCGGCGUUGAGUUCAAUCGUUCGCCGCCGUUCCAUAGACCAGAUCCAUUGGUGAAACUGAAGAGAGGUUGCGGAAAUUCAAGAUUUAUUGAUAAAUUAUGUAGAUUUAGAUGAAAUACUAGUGCAUAACUGUGCUCCCUCCCCUUUUAAUUAAGUAAACAGUAACUAAUUCCCACCCAGUGGUCAAUCACCUGCAUGUAUGAGCAAAACAUUUGGAGUGUUUUGAGUCUAACCCUCUUAUGGAUAAUUGCUCCCGUAAUGCCUGUUCCACAACUUUUUAAUCUUUAUGUUCAAACCCUUUUUUUCCUUAUCUAAUUUUAUUUUUAAAGGUGCAUAUCUCUUCCUUCCUGUUACCUUAAGCAAACAUAACAACCUACCCCCUCUAAAUUUUCAAUCACUCGCAUGAUAACAGCAAAACAUUUAGAAUGUUUGAAGUUAGAACCUUCUGUGAUUAAUUGCUCUCAUGAUAACUUAUUACUUUUCUGAAUCAUAAUCUCUAUACUUGAUCAUUAUCUUCGUAAUAAUCUUAUAAAAAACACUAAGUCCAAACCAGAGCAAUUCAUCAUAGAAAAUUUAAACUUGAACAUUUUUUAUACUCUGUCCAUAUCAUGCCUGAUUGUACAUUGGGAGGUAAAAGCUGUUAAUUGUUUACAUAAAUUAAAAGGUUGAAACAAGUAUCAAAACCAUAAAUGUUAAACCAUAACAAUC